ACUGCAUGAAGUCGGAAUCGCUAGUAAUCGCGGAUCAGCAUGCCGCGGUGAAUACGUUCCCGGGCCUUGUACACACCGCCCGUCACACCAUGAGAGUCGGGAACACCCGAAGUCCGUAGCCUAACCGCAAGGGGGGCGCGGCCGAAGGUGGGUUCGAUAAUUGGGGUGAAGUCGUAACAAGGUAUC
This 186-nucleotide ribosomal RNA is filed under the name uncultured bacterium. RNAcentral describes it as "partial 16S ribosomal RNA". It matches the Rfam family "Bacterial small subunit ribosomal RNA", at positions 1315 to 1500 of the family's 1533-position model. The record is from RNAcentral.